This is a long non-coding RNA of Gasterosteus aculeatus aculeatus (three-spined stickleback), 3901 nucleotides long. The record is from Ensembl. Lineage: Eukaryota; Metazoa; Chordata; Actinopteri; Perciformes; Gasterosteidae.
AUUUUUCGUAUGGUGAAUUCUGGGGGGACGUGUGUAGUGAAUGUGACUGCAUAAUUCACCUUUGUUCUUGUUUUGUUGUACACGCAAUUGCGACUGUUCCGGGAUCACGGUCCCUUUAAAUGUUUUGUUAUGUUGUGACGUAGAGUCCCUUGCUUGUGAGGUUACAGGGCUGCGCCAUCUUGAGUGUUGUUAUGGUAAUAAUAAACGAGACACACGCUGCUGUUCUCAACUCGCGGAAUUGCCUUUCAUUACAAACGCAACUUCCACACUAUUACCAUUAAUGUAACAAAACCAAAAAGUACUUGUGGUCUAGGUGGCACCAUUGCUUACCAAUUCCUGCGUUGCAGAUCCACCACUGAGCUCCAUCCUACAGACCCCACUAAACCCCCGGGCGUUCCCUCUAAAAGUGACCCUAAUGGCUUCCACUUGGGUUCUUCACUGGUUCCAGCUAGGUGAUGUGGUGGAAGAUUUUGCACAGACAAUCGUUAAGUAAGAAACAAAGGCUCUGAGUCAAGUAUGUCUUUUCUCCGUUUAUUUCCUUGCAAUGGAAAAAGGGUCACAACAGCUACGUGGUCAGUAGACUGUCAACAACCUCCUUUUUUUCCCAACACAUCGAGGCAGUUCUUAUACCUAAAUUUAGAUAUCGGUGGCGUCAACAGAAACCUUUGACCAUCUUGUUGAGUAUCUACAGCCAGGGUACUGGGAACAUCUUAUCCAUGUAAGACACGUCAGUUCUUUGACCGUGUCCUUGCUCUCCCAACAUGCUAAAACAAAGGUGGUCAUAGACAUAACAAACACUUCAAUCUCUACAGCUAUGACGCUGGAAACAUCUAAUCCAAGAGGGAGACAUCAGUUCUUAUGUCAGGGCCUUUGUGACCUAAGCACUUGCAACUAAUACACUGGUUAUACAAAUGAAGCAUUUAAAAGGGUCACAUAUCAUUUUCCCAUUACAGUGACCUUAUUGAACUCAUCUCCCUGGUGUGAGGUCUCAACCCCAGCGUGGCGGCAGGAGGCCGCAAGGGGGCGCCGACGAACGCGUCCUCCGGAGCCAAUCACCGGAAUUCGGAACACCCACGAGAGAGGAGACCUAUAAGAGCAGGCCGACGCAGCGCGCAAAGUGUGAGGUAUUGCAAGUACGCUUCUCUGCUGAACCCUUUGUUUCGCUGCCCCUGAAUUCCCGUAGAACCAGUGAGCUUCCGUGUAUCGACCUUCCGCCUUCUCUCGACUACGAACCUGCCUACUCCCUGGAUCAGAUCCGUCUCUUGCCAUCCCGUGUCUCCGAACCACUGCCUGUCCCCGGAUUCCCCGUACUGCCUUUUCCCUUGAGACUACAGUUGCCUGUAGUCCCAAAUAAACAUUGAGAGCUCUGCUCUUGGGUCUCAGUCUGUCUCCUGAGUCCAUUCGUUACACCUGGUUAGCCAGCCACACCUCGGAGGAGUCAGGUAUCUGCAAAAGUGAGAGUCUACCACGAUCCCUGGGAGCAGGACGAGGUCUUGGUGACUUCUGCGCUUAUGAAAGUUCAAUCUUUUGUUUUGUUUCCUCUCAUUUGUUAAUUUUGUUUAACAAAUGGUUUAAACUUGGUAAAAUAAUGAGUUACAUUACAUUACAUGUCAUUUAGCUGAUACUUUUAUCCAAAGCGACUUACAAUAAGUGCAUUCAACCAUAGGGAUACAAACUCAGAAGAACAAGAAACAAGAAAGUGCAAUUUCAUCAAAUAAGCCAAUUUUAAAUUUGCUAUAGAUAAGUGGCGUUACAAGUAUAAUUUAAGUGCUAAAAUUUGUUAGUAUUUCAGUGGAGGUAGAGUCUUAAGAGGUGUAUCUUUAGUUUGGGGUGGAAGUUGUGAAGGCUCUCUGUGGUCCUGGUGUCUUCAGAGAGCUCGUUCCACCAUUUAGGAGCAGGACAGCAAAGAGUCGUUGUGGUGGCGGGGUGUGGUUAGCUCAGCUGCAGGGGGUAGAGCGGGGGAGUGGUUCAGGGGACGGCAGGAGAGUAAGGAGCACAGGUGGAAAUGAUCAGAACUGAUUGUGUGUCACUUGAAAAGCAGUGAGCAAGACCUGGAGAGAAAAAGACUCUGCAGCAGACGCUCAGGGGCAAGGCCGAGGAGCGGAGCAGAGCCGAGGAGGACAACCUCGCCAAACCUGCUCACUGCAAGGAAAUGAAAUAAAAGAUAUUGCUCCAAAGAAUCGUGUCUCCGUGCGUCCUUACGCGAACCCCAAAGGUGGUAGCUCAAACCUGCUACAGUCGUAAUCUAGUUGAGUGUUUUGCUCUCAGUGAGGAGGAACAAGCAGUUUAUUAGAUGCAGAGCCGAGAGUGCGGGUCGGGAUGUAGGGUUUGACCAUGUCCUGGAUGUAAGCUGGACCCGCUCCAUUCACAGCAUGGUACGAGAGCACAAUGUUUUCAACGGAUGCGGGCAGGGACCGGUAGCCAGUGAAGAGAGCGGAGGAGUGGAGUAGUGUGGGAGAAUUUAGGAAGAUUAAAGACCAGUCGAGCUGCUGCAUUGUGGAUGAGCUGCAGAGGUUGAAUGGCGGUAGCAGGGAGACCUGUGUGAUGAAAAACAAUAUGUAACAUAUUGCUCUCUGAAUUAAAAUGUCGCAACAGUUUUUGUGUUAAAGAGUUGAAACAUAAUAUUCCAUGUGAGAUGUGUGAUUAAGAGGCAUAUUUAACAAAUCAUAGCAAUAUGUUUUUCAUCAUUUUAGCUAAUUUCAGUAUUUUUAGGUCAGGAUUGCAAAGCGGUCUGAGGUACUGCGUUCAGGUUGAAGAAUUCACUUCAAAAGUGUGAUGAAAAACAAAUGUAAUCUGUGACAGCAUGAUAUUUUUUAUAAUUUCCACUAUUUAACAUAUUUCUCAGUCAGGAUGGCCGGUCUAAGGCGCUGCGUUCAAAUCCCACUUCUGACAAAAGGUUAAAACAAGUGUUUUAAUUUCUGUAAAGUCCAAAACAAGAGGUUGCGAGGGAAACUGUGAAAAAGGCAUUCAUGUAACAAAUAAAUGUCCACUUACGUGAAUGUGUCUGUCACAAGGGAGGACGCUGCAGGUAUCAGACAUGAUUUUUCUCGCUCUUUUGUAAAAAAGGAUGUGCAAUUCAAUGAUAUAUGAAAUGUAGGUUAUCCUGCUAUUUGUCAUAAUUUCAAUGUUUGAGGUAUUUUACAGUCAGGAUGGCCGAGUGGUCUAAGGCGCUGCGUUAAGGUCGCAGUCUCCCCUGGAGGCGUGGGUUCAAAUCCCACUUCUGACAGAAGGUUAAGACAAGUGUUUUAAUAUCUGUAAAGUCCAAAACAAGAGGUUGCGAGGGAAACCGUGAAAAAGGCAUUCAUGUAACAAAUAAAUGUCCAGUUACGUGAAUGUGUAUGUGCCACAAGGGAGGACGCUGCAGGUAUCAGACAUGAUAUUUCUCGCUCUUUUGUAAAAAAGGAUGUGCAAUUCAAUGAUAUAUGAAAUAUAGGUUAUCCUAGUAUUUGUCAUAAUUUCAGUGUUUGAGGUAUUUUACAGUCAGGAUGGCCGAGUGGUCUAAGGCGCUGCGUUAAGGUCGCAGUCUCCCCUGGAGGCGUGGGUUCAAAUCCCACUUCUGACAGAAGGUUAAGACAAGUGUUUUAAUAUCUGUAAAGUCCAAAACAAGAGGUUGCGAGGGAAACCGUGAAAAAGGCAUUCAUGUAACAAUAAAUGUCCACUUACGUGAAUGUGUAUGUGCCACAAGGGAGGACGCUGCAGGUAUCAGAGCUGAUAUUUCUCGCUCUUUUGUAAAAAAGGAUGUGCAAUUCAAUGAUAUAUGAAAUGUAGGAUAUCCUGCUAUUUGUCAUAAUUUCAAUGUUUGAGGUAUUUUACAGUCAGGAUGGCCGAGUGGUCUAAGGCGCUGCUUUAAGGUCGCAGUCUCCCCGGGAGGCGUGGGGUCAUAUCACACUUCUGACAGAAG